RNAcentral lists this ribosomal RNA (253 nucleotides) under uncultured bacterium. RNAcentral's name for it is "partial 16S ribosomal RNA". It matches the Rfam family "Bacterial small subunit ribosomal RNA", at positions 524 to 776 of the family's 1533-position model. The record is from RNAcentral.
UACGUAGGGCGCAAGCGUUAUCCGGAAUUAUUGGGCGUAAAGAGCUCGUAGGCGGCCACUCAAGUCGAAUGUGAAACCUCGAGGCUUAACCUCGAGCCUGCAUUCGAUACUGGGCGGCUAGAGUCUGGUAGGGGGAUCUGGAAUUCCUGGUGUAGCGGUGGAAUGCGCAGAUAUCAGGAGGAACACCGGUGGCGAAGGCGGGAUCCUGGGCCAGUACUGACGCUGAGGAGCGAAAGCGUGGGGAGCAAACAGG